UCCUGGUCGCAGUAGUGACGUGAGGCAGC
This 29-nucleotide small RNA is filed under the name Bombyx mori (domestic silkworm). RNAcentral describes it as "ovarian small RNA-27953". Lineage: Eukaryota; Metazoa; Arthropoda; Insecta; Lepidoptera; Bombycidae. The record is from RNAcentral.